This 253-nucleotide ribosomal RNA is filed under the name uncultured bacterium. RNAcentral's name for it is "partial 16S ribosomal RNA". It matches the Rfam family "Bacterial small subunit ribosomal RNA", at positions 524 to 776 of the family's 1533-position model. The record is from RNAcentral.
UACGUAGGCAGCAAGCGUUGUUCAGAGUUACUGGGCGUAAAGGGUGCGUAGGCGGCCUUAUAAGUAUGGUGUGAAAUCUCCCGGCUUAACUGGGAGGGUGCGCUAUAGACUGUGGGGCUAGAGUGUGGGAGAGGAAAGUGGAAUUCCUGGUGUAGCGGUGAAAUGCGUAGAUAUCAGGAGGAACACCGGUGGUGUAAACGGCUUUCUGGACCAUAACUGACGCUGAGGCACGAAAGCGUGGGUAGCAAACAGG